This 2771-nucleotide ribosomal RNA is filed under the name Klebsiella pneumoniae. RNAcentral describes it as "bacterial LSU rRNA". It matches the Rfam family "Bacterial large subunit ribosomal RNA". Lineage: Bacteria; Pseudomonadati; Pseudomonadota; Gammaproteobacteria; Enterobacterales; Enterobacteriaceae. The record is from RNAcentral.
AGCGUACACGGUGGAUGCCCUGGCAGUCAGAGGCGAUGAAGGACGUGCUAAUCUGCGAAAAGCGUCGGUAAGGUGAUAUGAACCGUUAUAGCCGGCGAUGUCCGAAUGGGGAAACCCAGUGCAAUUCGUUGCACUAUCGUUAACUGAAUACAUAGGUUAACGAGGCGAACCGGGGGAACUGAAACAUCUAAGUACCCCGAGGAAAAGAAAUCAACCGAGAUUCCCCCAGUAGCGGCGAGCGAACGGGGAGCAGCCCAGAGUCUGAAUCAGCUUGUGUGUUAGUGGAACGGUCUGGAAAGUCCGACGGUACAGGGUGAUAGUCCCGUACACCAAAAUGCACAGGUUGUGAACUCGAAGAGUAGGGCGGGACACGUGGUAUCCUGUCUGAAUAUGGGGGGACCAUCCUCCAAGGCUAAAUACUCCUGACUGACCGAUAGUGAACCAGUACCGUGAGGGAAAGGCGAAAAGAACCCCGGCGAGGGGAGUGAAAAAGAACCUGAAACCGUGUACGUACAAGCAGUGGGAGCACCUUCGGGUGUGACUGCGUACCUUUUGUAUAAUGGGUCAGCGACUUAUAUUCUGUAGCAAGGUUAACCGUAUAGGGGAGCCGCAGGGAAACCGAGUCUUAACUGGGCGUUAAGUUGCAGGGUAUAGACCCGAAACCCGGUGAUCUAGCCAUGGGCAGGUUGAAGGUUGGGUAACACUAACUGGAGGACCGAACCGACUAAUGUUGAAAAAUUAGCGGAUGACUUGUGGCUGGGGGUGAAAGGCCAAUCAAACCGGGAGAUAGCUGGUUCUCCCCGAAAGCUAUUUAGGUAGCGCCUCGUGAAUUCAUCUUCGGGGGUAGAGCACUGUUUCGGCUAGGGGGUCAUCCCGACUUACCAACCCGAUGCAAACUACGAAUACCGAAGAAUGUUAUCACGGGAGACACACGGCGGGUGCUAACGUCCGUCGUGAAGAGGGAAACAACCCAGACCGCCAGCUAAGGUCCCAAAGUCAUGGUUAAGUGGGAAACGAUGUGGGAAGGCACAGACAGCCAGGAUGUUGGCUUAGAAGCAGCCAUCAUUUAAAGAAAGCGUAAUAGCUCACUGGUCGAGUCGGCCUGCGCGGAAGAUGUAACGGGGCUAAACCAUGCACCGAAGCUGCGGCAGCGACACUAUGUGUUGUUGGGUAGGGGAGCGUUCUGUAAGCCUGCGAAGGUGUGCUGUGAGGCAUGCUGGAGGUAUCAGAAGUGCGAAUGCUGACAUAAGUAACGAUAAAGCGGGUGAAAAGCCCGCUCGCCGGAAGACCAAGGGUUCCUGUCCAACGUUAAUCGGGGCAGGGUGAGUCGACCCCUAAGGCGAGGCCGAAAGGCGUAGUCGAUGGGAAACAGGUUAAUAUUCCUGUACUUGGUGUUACUGCGAAGGGGGGACGGAGAAGGCUAUGUUAGCCGGGCGACGGUUGUCCCGGUUUAAGCAUGUAGGCUGGUUGUCCAGGCAAAUCCGGAUAAUCAAGGCUGAGGUGUGAUGACGAGGCACUACGGUGCUGAAGUAACAAAUGCCCUGCUUCCAGGAAAAGCCUCUAAGCAUCAGGUAACAUCAAAUCGUACCCCAAACCGACACAGGUGGUCAGGUAGAGAAUACCAAGGCGCUUGAGAGAACUCGGGUGAAGGAACUAGGCAAAAUGGUGCCGUAACUUCGGGAGAAGGCACGCUGGUGUGUAGGUGAAGUCCCUGCGGAUGGAGCUGAGACCAGUCGAAGAUACCAGCUGGCUGCAACUGUUUAUUAAAAACACAGCACUGUGCAAACACGAAAGUGGACGUAUACGGUGUGACGCCUGCCCGGUGCCGGAAGGUUAAUUGAUGGGGUUAUCCGUAAGGAGAAGCUCUUGAUCGAAGCCCCGGUAAACGGCGGCCGUAACUAUAACGGUCCUAAGGUAGCGAAAUUCCUUGUCGGGUAAGUUCCGACCUGCACGAAUGGCGUAAUGAUGGCCAGGCUGUCUCCACCCGAGACUCAGUGAAAUUGAACUCGCUGUGAAGAUGCAGUGUACCCGCGGCAAGACGGAAAGACCCCGUGAACCUUUACUAUAGCUUGACACUGAACAUUGAGCCUUGAUGUGUAGGAUAGGUGGGAGGCUUUGAAGCGUGGACGCCAGUCUGCGUGGAGCCAACCUUGAAAUACCACCCUUUAAUGUUUGAUGUUCUAACGUUGGCCCCUGACCGGGGUUGCGGACAGUGUCUGGUGGGUAGUUUGACUGGGGCGGUCUCCUCCCAAAGCGUAACGGAGGAGCACGAAGGUUAGCUAAUCCUGGUCGGACAUCAGGAGGUUAGUGCAAUGGCAUAAGCUAGCUUGACUGCGAGCGUGACGGCGCGAGCAGGUGCGAAAGCAGGUCAUAGUGAUCCGGUGGUUCUGAAUGGAAGGGCCAUCGCUCAACGGAUAAAAGGUACUCCGGGGAUAACAGGCUGAUACCGCCCAAGAGUUCAUAUCGACGGCGGUGUUUGGCACCUCGAUGUCGGCUCAUCACAUCCUGGGGCUGAAGUAGGUCCCAAGGGUAUGGCUGUUCGCCAUUUAAAGUGGUACGCGAGCUGGGUUUAGAACGUCGUGAGACAGUUCGGUCCCUAUCUGCCGUGGGCGCUGGAGAAUUGAGGGGGGCUGCUCCUAGUACGAGAGGACCGGAGUGGACGCAUCACUGGUGUUCGGGUUGUCAUGCCAAUGGCACUGCCCGGUAGCUAAAUGCGGAAGAGAUAAGUGCUGAAAGCAUCUAAGCACGAAACUUGCCCCGAGAUGAGUUCU